Molecule: ribosomal RNA, 468 nt
Filed under: uncultured bacterium
Lineage: Bacteria
Description: partial 16S ribosomal RNA
Rfam family: Bacterial small subunit ribosomal RNA
Source: RNAcentral
GACGAACGCUGGCGGCGUGCUUAACACAUGCAAGUCGAACGGAAAGGCCCUGCUUUUGUGGGGUGCUCGAGUGGCGAACGGGUGAGUAACACGUGAGUAACCUCCCCUUGUCUUUGGGAUAACUUCAGGAAACUGGGGCUAAUACCGGAUAGGAUCUCCUGCCGCAGGGUGGGGGUGGGAAAGUUUCGGCGGUUGGGGAUGGACUGGCGGCUUAUCAGCUUGUUGGUGGGGUAGUGGCUUACCAAGGCUUUGACGGGUAGCCGGCCUGAGAGGGUGACCGGCCACAUUGGGACUGAGAUACGGCCCAGACUCCUACGGGAGGCAGCAGUGGGGAAUAUUGCACAAUGGGCGGAAGCCUGAUGCAGCAACGCCGCGUGCGGGAUGACGGCCUUCGGGUUGUAAACCGCUUUCGCCUGUGACGAAGCGUGAGUGACGGUAAUGGGUAAAGAAGCACCGGCUAACUACGUG